This 372-nucleotide ribosomal RNA is filed under the name uncultured organism. RNAcentral's name for it is "partial 16S ribosomal RNA". It matches the Rfam family "Bacterial small subunit ribosomal RNA", at positions 527 to 896 of the family's 1533-position model. The record is from RNAcentral.
GUAGGAGGCGAGCGUUAUCCGGAUUUACUGGGCGUAAAGCGCGUGCAGGCGGGUCCCUUAAGUCGGACGUGAAAGCUCCCGGCUCAACUGGGAGAGGUCGUUCGAAACUAGGGGACUUGAGGAUGGUAGAGGAGAGUGGAAUUCCCGGUGUAGUGGUGAAAUGCGUAGAUAUCGGGAGGAACACCAGUGGCGAAGGCGGCUCUCUGGGCCAUUCCUGACGCUAAGACGCGAAAGCUAGGGGAGAGAACGGGAUUAGAAACCCCGGUAUUCCUAGCCGUAAACGAUGUCAACUAGGUGUAGGGGGUAUCCAACCCCCCUGUGCUGUAGCUAACGCGUUAAGUUGACCGCCUGGGGACUACGGCCGCAAGGCUA